RNAcentral lists this transfer RNA (72 nucleotides) under Schistosoma mansoni. The record is from RNAcentral. Lineage: Eukaryota; Metazoa; Platyhelminthes; Trematoda; Strigeidida; Schistosomatidae.
UUUAAACAUUAUAACAUUUUGGGCUAAUGUUAUUCUAACGAGUUACUUACUUACUUACGUCUGUUACUUCUC